UUCUCAUUUUCCUUCUCCCAAAACGGCCCCAAACCAAAUCUCAGCUGGAGAUAGAGAGAGAGAGAGAGCGAGCUGUUGGCAUCUUGCCUUGAAAAUGUAGAGAGGGAGAGAGUCGAAGGACAUCGAAGAGAGGCAAUUGGGAGCAGGCGAGGGGAGGACUGAGCUGGGAGACUCGGAGAGAACGAGAAGAAGAGGAAGGAGGAGGAGGAGGAGGAGCCGAAAUGCCGCUGACGAGGUACCAGAUAAGGAACGAGUACGGCCUGGCCGAUCCGGAGCUGUACAGAGCCGCCGAUAAGGAUGAUCCGGAGGCUCUCCUGGAAGGCGUCGCCAUGGCUGGCCUCGUCGGCGUCCUCCGCCAGCUCGGCGACCUAGCUGAGUUUGCUGCUGAGAUAUUCCACGACUUGCAUGAAGAAGUUUUGGCCACAGCUUCGAGAGGCCAUAGUCUCAUGGUACGUGUUCAACAGCUGGAGUUAGAAUUCCCUCUAAUUGAGAAGGCGUUGCUGUCCCAAACAAAUCAUUCGUCCUUUCUUUCAAAUCAAGGUGCUGAUUGGCAUCCUAAUAUGCGUUCAAAGCAGAAUUUGAUUGCUCAAGGAGACUUGCCUCGCUUUAUCAUGGACUCUUAUGAAGAAUGUAGAGGCCCGCCACGGCUAUUUCUUCUGGACAAGUUUGAUGUUGCUGGUGCUGGGGCUUGUUUAAAGCGUUACACUGAUCCGUCAUUCUUUAGAGUGGAAGCUUCAGUAGACGAAGUUCAGAGGGAAAGAAAAGUACGCAGGGUAAAGAAGAAAGGAAUGCGUGGUAGAAAUGGAGAAACUCCAGAGAUUUUACCAGCAUCACAUGCCAAACUGCAGCAGUUGUUUAUGGAGGAGAGCAUUGUGAAUAGUUAUAGUAACCCUUCUCGUCUUGUGAAAUUGAAGAAAAGGCAGUUUAACGAACCUCCAUUUUGUUCAAGAAAUGGGAAAAGUUAUAUGGAGAAGUUUGUGGAAACUCCUUCACCUGAGAGUAAAACAGUGUGUGAAGUUUCCAUUGCACCGCCAUCCUUAAGAUGGACAACAGAUUGUGAAUCAGGUAAUGAAGUAGUUGAUGUCAAUAUGGUAAGUCCAAAGAAAAAUCGAUCAAAAGAGAAGGGGAGCACUUUAACAUCCAUUGCAGAAGCACUCUUGCCGGAAACAUCUCUUGAACGUUUGGAUGGGAUGGUUGUUAAUGGGAAGGAAAUGGAGGAACCUGAGCUACCUCAUGAUAGUGAGACAUAUGGAGGUCCUACUCUUUAUGAGGCUGAGAAAAAGGAGGUGGUUGAUGCAGAAUUCAAGAUGGGUCGUGGCAUGGAUGUUUGUCAUUCUGAUGAGAUAACCAGUGAGGUAGAGAAUUACGUGGACGCCCUUGCUACCAUGGAAUCUGAAGCUGAAACGGACAAUGAAUACAGAGCUAAAAAUGACAAGGGUUUCUUGAAUGAUGAAAAAACUGAGACAGAUUCUGACACGAAUGAAGAGCACCUGGAACUUCAAGCUCAAUAUUCAGACUCUCAAUCUCUAGGCUAUUCUGCCUCGGAAGAUGGAAACACUUCUCUCAUUAAAGGAAGUUCUAGCUUUACCUACUCUGAUGGUCAAAGCAACUUGGUUGAUAAUAUAGAAUCUGAUGGUGAGGGAAUUGCUAGAGCAUUCCUGUCUGCUGAAACUUCUUCCUCUCAUCAUCUGAACAUGACCUAUAACGAGCUUCCUGCACAUGGGGGAACUGGAGAAAUAGAGGACUCCAAUGAGUCUGUUGUGCCCAAACAUAUGGGCAUAGAGGAUGAUGAGAUCAGUGAUAUUCGGGAAGCAUCUACAGAUUUAUGUUCUAUUGAUAUGAAAGCAAAGCUUUCACCUUCAGGUCAUGGACAAAGUCUACAAGUUGAAUCAGAGGCAGAAGGGUCUGACCAAAAAGAGUCGGAGGUAGACAGUGUCAGAGCUGUUUUUCCUGAUUCUGCUUCUCAGAAGCAGGAUGAUGCUUUCUCCCCCAUUGCUUCUGAAAGCAAUCCAAUCUUUCAGUCAGUAGAUGCAGAUCCAAAAGUCUCAUCUGAUGUUUUAGCGCAUUCUUUGACCGUUCUUGAGUUGGCCCGUGAACAUGAUAGUAACAUUACCUAUAAGCAUGAAGAAUUCGUAUUCAAUCACACUGGAACUGUGACAAGUGGAAAGAUCAUUCCCUGGCAUUCAAAAAUGACGUUGCCAGAAGAUCAGUUCCAGUUUUUAGUAGUGCCAGAAGCGUCUGGAUAUUCAGAUCUUCAAUCACUGCCUGAUAGUUCUGUCACUUCUCCUGCAUGUAAUCCGGAUAUGGCAAACCUGCAUGGUACAAAUUCUGAAGUUCAUCCUUUGGCAGCUGGUUUGAUGAACUUGGAUAACCCAAUUGUCAUAGAAGAUAAGCAGCAGACUCAUAUAAUUAAACAGCAAUCUUUUGAUUUCACGUAUGAUGCUCCAUUACAUGAACAAAAUGCACCAGAAGUAGAUCUUCAGCCUUUACAGGAAAACAUCGAGUUUGGAAAGAAUGAACCCCCUCUGGAUUUUGAUGAUGUUGUCAAAGUUUCCUGGACAGUAGAAGCAGUGGAAGGAGAUGCCAGUCCUCUUAACUUCCCAUGCAACAACUCAAUCCUUAGUGAGAAUGCAAACAUGCAUGAUGCGGGGACUGAACAAGCUCCAAUAGAACAGUUGCUACUCCCUACUCCUGUUAUUGCCACUACUGAUGAUAAUGGCAGCACUAGUGUAGAUCCAGCUGCAGAUAUAGCGGGGGCCUCUGCAGAUUCACAGGAACCACCAGCUGGCAUGGAUCAUUUGCCUCAGAAAGAGUGCGAGUCAUAUGAGGAAGGUUUUCCAGAGUGUAAUAAAGAGUUGAACUUGCUUGAGGAAGCAAGAGAUGCAAAAGUUGCUUAUGCCGAAAAUAACUCUAUCCCGAGUGAUCUGAUCUCUCAUCCGGAAUCUGAAGUGGAAACUGAGAUGCUGGGCUUGUCUUUUAUGGAGAAAUCACUGAGCAGACAUUCGUCAGAUGAUGCGACAAUUGGUUCAGGAUAUGAAGAACUAGGCAGUGAGGAGCCUGGACCAAAACCUUCCUCCCAAGGUCAUCUUCCAUGGAGCAGUGAAGAUAUCUUGUUGUCUUUGCAUGUUUAUCACCAAGUAGACCAAGGAGAAACUCCAGAGCACUUGUCGGAUGUGCCACCACAUGAGCUUGAUUUAAAUUUAUCAUGCGAAGAUGAAGUUAGUCCUUGGACAGUUAAUCCUGAAUCUGAAAAACUGCAAUCAGCAGAUCUCGUGGUUCAGGAGAACAUUCUUUCUAGCAGACCAGGAUCUCCUUUAGAAUGUCCCUUGGAGUUUCAAAAUGACAGAUCUGAUGCGGAGUGUCCGCAGGGUGAUGAAACAAGAAGCCGAUCAUCAACUCUUCUGUCUGGACAAUUACAAUCUAAGGAUAGUACAGGCAAAGAAAAAUACUCAGCUUUUGAAUCGUGUCCAGAAGAUCAACCAACCCAGCAUUCUAUCUCAGAAUCCUUACAAAAAUCAGCUAGCCAGGAAGUUGACGGUUUUAGUCCUGUAGGGCCUUCAUUACACACCAAUAUUGCUAUAUCUCCACAGUCCUCUGUUCUGGCUGAAAUUAAUCAAGAGGAUGUUCCCAAUUUGGCACCCUUACCUCCAUCGGAAUGGACGAUAGGAAAGGAUCAUCACGUUUUUCUUGCUUCACAGAGCGAAGUAAUUCAGGAUGGGCAGGACUCGUUCCAAUUGUUACAACGGUUACCAGCUGAAGAAAAUCCACAACUUCAGUUGUCAGCAUCAGAGGGAGGAUUGAUAUGGCCUCUUCACACAUUUCUGAACGUGGAAAAUGAGAAGUUACACACCGAAGAACGAGAGGAUAAAUCGGCACUGCCUGGUCCAUUAUCUUCUGUAACUCAAGUCCCAGAUGGCAAUUCAGUUAUUCAGGAUGACAGUUCUGUGAUGGAGGCUACAGAAGUACCGGACCACUUCUUGACAAGUGUGUCUGAGCAUGCUUUCCUUGAUUGGGGAAGAGGAGUGGUGCAAUCCAAUUCAAACAUUCUCCCACCUCAUCCAGUUGUUGAAGACAGACCCUCUAGAAAUGACCCUGUAUCUUCGCAGGGAGAAGUUACUCAAUAUAUUGAGUCAACUUCGUCUGUUUCAAAGGAUAAGGUUCAGCAGUAUUUUCAUGAGAAAUCGGAAGCACAGCAUGAGAGUUCUCAAAAUGCAUCUGGGCCAUCAGAUAUGAAGCAAGAUGAGCAUCUCCAACAUGAUCUGCUUAAUUUAGAUGGAGAAAGAGCAUUUGAGGCAACUUCAGCUCUACCAGAAAAUGAAGUUGUACAACCAAAUGAAAAGUUGACGAGUAAUAUUCCUCGCCCACCAAAACGUCUCAUAGAGGCUGUUGCUGCUCAUGAUAGAAGCAUGUUGAGGAAGGUUACUGAAAGAAUAAAGCCUCCAAUUGAACCAAGAGCAAAUGAAAGAGAUUCGUUGCUAGAGCAAAUACGGACAAAGUCAUUCAACUUGAAACCUGCUGUUGUCACCCGGCCAAGUAUUCAGGGUCCUAAAACUAACUUGAAGGUUAAUGCUAUUUUGGAGAAGGCUAAUGCCAUUCGCCAGGCAUUUGCUGGAAGUGAUGAAGAUGAUGAUGAAGAUAAUUGGAGUGACUCCUGAGAAUGUUCCGUUCCUCGUGCCAAAUUUUACUGCCGCAUCUUCGUCGAAGAGGAAAGUUGCCUGUUGUGCCCUGAUUUCUUUGUUCCUUUAGGCAUGUAUAAAUAUUCCUCCCCACACCCACACCCAAACCCACACCCAAAGGAAGAAAAUGUUAAGGGUUUCCCGUCCUCCUCUCCUUCCUCACACCAGAAAGUGAAGCAAGAGAAUAGACUUCUCAAAACCGGCAUGCUCUUUAUUCGUCAUUUUUCUUCUUUGGCCUCUGAAGAAUGCAAAGCUUACAUACUUUUUCCGCACGUGGAACCAAUGCGCUGAUGUGCUUUGGCAAAGCAUGUUGUAUGCCGCUCAUUAUCUUUUGCGCUACCGUUCUUUGUUUUCUACUGUUAUUUUGUUAUAUGGACCUUUUGGGAAUUAUUUUCCCUCGUUGCAUGACCUUAGUCUUUUGAAUUAAUGUAUUUUCCCUCUAGAACA
Rhodamnia argentea is the source of this 5123-nucleotide RNA transcript. It is a transcript of the gene named protein SCAR2, with no coding region annotated. The transcript has 10 exons. Lineage: Eukaryota; Viridiplantae; Streptophyta; Magnoliopsida; Myrtales; Myrtaceae. The record is from RefSeq and is a predicted model, not a curated record.